RNAcentral lists this ribosomal RNA (482 nucleotides) under uncultured bacterium. RNAcentral's name for it is "bacterial SSU rRNA". It matches the Rfam family "Bacterial small subunit ribosomal RNA", at positions 28 to 507 of the family's 1533-position model. The record is from RNAcentral.
GACGAACGCUGGCGGCGUGCCUAACACAUGCAAGUCGAACGGGACUUAAUGGAAUGCGGCUUCGGCCAAAGGAAGUUAAGUUUAGUGGCGAACGGGUGAGUAACGCGUGAGAAACCUGCCUUUCAGUGGGGGACAACAGUUGGAAACGACUGCUAAUACCGCAUAACAUACACGGACCGCAUGAUCUGUGUAUCAAAGCUUAAUGUGCUGAAAGAUGGUCUCGCGUCUGAUUAGCUAGAUGGCGGGGUAACGGCCCACCAUGGCGACGAUCAGUAGCCGGUCUGAGAGGAUGAACGGCCACAUUGGGACUGAGAUACGGCCCAGACUCCUACGGGAGGCAGCAGUGGGGAAUAUUGGGCAAUGGGCGAAAGCCUGACCCAGCAACGCCGCGUGAGGGAAGAAGGUUUUCGGAUUGUAAACCUCUGUCCUAAGGGAAGAAGGAAGUGACGGUACCUUAGGAGGAAGCCCCGGNUAACUACGUG